RNAcentral lists this long non-coding RNA (5442 nucleotides) under Sus scrofa (pig). RNAcentral's name for it is "lncRNA (ENSSSCG00040001906.1)". Lineage: Eukaryota; Metazoa; Chordata; Mammalia; Artiodactyla; Suidae. The record is from RNAcentral.
AGAAUAGUAAUAUUUAAAGUUUUUCAUGAUUUUGUGAAAUCAUUUUGAAACUGGAUGUAAAUGUAGGACCAAUUCUUUCCCAAAAUCUUGCAUGAUGAAAAAAAUAAUUCUUUAAGUCUGAUUAUUUUUCUCUGUACUUAAUAUUCUUGAUUAUUUAUUGAGAGUAGCAAAGAUUAAAUUAUACUCUAGUUUGAAAGAAUCAGAGUGGGGUUCCCAGAUGAAGAGCCACUUAACUGAGUUCUGGAGAAUGCCAAGGUGAUGAGAAAAGCAAGAUUGUUUCUAUUAGAGGGAACAUGUAAAUGAAAGCACAGAGCAUUAAUAGAAAAAUGUAUGUUCCAACUGUUUUUCAAAGAGAUAAGAUGAUAAUAAAAUACCAAGAUAUAGAACUUAAAAAUCACUAUAGGAAAGAAAAAUAGAAUUAAGAACUGAUGGAACCAUGAAAAAGCAGAAAACAUAAAAUAAGAUGAGAGAAGUAAUGUUGAUACUUUAUCACAAUAAAUGUUCAUGGACAAAACCUCCCCCACUAAAGGACAAAGACUCUGAAAUUGAACCAGAUUGAAAAUUCAGAUUUUGCUUCUUUAUUGAAAAAAAAAAGGCUGAGCGAAAAUGACAUUGCAAAGUUAAAGUAAAAAUAGAUAGAAAAAUGUAAGUUGCAGAAGAAAAGGAAAACUGCAGAGGUAGUAAUACUGCCAUUAAAUAAAGCAGAAUUUGAGGCAAGAAGCAUUCAGUGGCACGAGGUUAUGUACCAGUUACUGUUUCCUCAGCUAUAAAAUAGAGAAAAUAACAAGUGAGGUUAAGAAAAUAAUGGAGAAAAUGAGUUCUGUUUGAAUCCUAAGUGAGAUGAUGCUUAAAAGCACUUACUGUAGUGCCACCCGGUACAUGGAGUUAAAUAAACGAUGGGUGUGUAAAACUCAAGAGGCAUCAUUGGCCAAUUCCUUCAGAAUUUCUCUUGUAUCUCACCUUUGUUCUCCACUCCCAUUUCUAUGACCCUAGCAAAUCUCUCUGUACAUUUCUGCUGGAUUACAAAGAUAAUCCCUAACUGUUCUCCUUGUCUCUAGUUUUAUGAACUUCUAUGCACAGAUUAAUCUUCUUAGAAUGCUAUUUUUAGUAUGUCACUCUUUGGCUCAAAAUUUAUAUACAAGAUGAAAUCCCAAUUUUCCAGCUUGUUAUUCAAAGCCCUUUAAAAUCUACUGUGAUCCCACCUUUAUUUAUAGGCUUAUGCUGUACUCCCGCUCUGUAAGAACUCUCCAUCCCAGGAAUGUCUACCUUUUCAAUAGCCCUGAGAUAUAUUUUAAUCACUUCUCUCUCUGAGCCUUUCUUUGUUCACACUUGUAAUCUUUCUCCAGCUAUUUCCCCAUCAGCCUUUCCUGUCCCAUCCCCCAGUGUCAACUGUAUCUUCCUGUCUCCUCUUUAAAUGCAAAGAAACUUUCCCUUUAUGAUGUCCAAGGAAUUAGGUGCUGUAUUCCAAUACUGAAAUAAAUCCUCCUUUGUAUCACUUUUUACCCUGUAUCAUCAGAUUUAAAAGUGUUGAUUGUGAGAUGAAACAUUAUUGCAUGUAUUACCAAGAAAGAGAGAAAGCUUCCAAGUACAGCAUGACAUUCCAUUGAUUUUUUUCUUUUUUUUAAAUGGAAGUAUAAUUGAUUUAUAAUGUUGUGUUAGUUUAAAUACAUAUGUAUAUAUCUGAUAUAUAUAACUGAUAUAUCUGAUAUAUAAUGUUGUGUUAGUUUCCAAUAAAUAGAUAGAUAGAUAGAUAGAUUCUUUUCCCUUAUAGGUUAUUACAAAAUAUUGAGUAUAGUUCCCUGUGCUACACAGUAGGUCCUUGUUGAUUAUUUCAUAUGUAGUAAUAUGUACCUGUUAAUCCCAAACUCCUAAUUUAUCCCUCCCCCACUCCCCCUGUGCAUUCCAUUGAUUUUUUUUCUUUGUUUUUGUCUUUUUGUUGUUUAAAAGAUGGAAAAAUGUGCAUCCUGGGUUCCGUAAAAUGUAGUAGGUGAUUCAUACAUAUGUUUAUUUAUUCAGUAAAUAUUUCCUGAUUGCCUAUCUUAUGCUCCAGUCAAGGCACCAACAUUCAAGCUUAUCCUCUUCUGUACUCAGGCUUUUACUGCCUCCACCCCCUCGCCCAGGAAGGACUGUAAAGCCUUUACAGGCAGAAAUUGUUUUUAAUUUUAUUCAAGUAUAGCUGAUUUACAAUAUUGUGAUAACUUCUGCUGUACAGCAAAGUGAUUUCGCCAUACAUAGACACAUAUCCAUUCCCAUAUAGAUUGUCACGGAAUAUCCAAUAGAUUUCUCUGUGCUGUACAGCAAGUCCCCACUGGCCAUCCGUUCCAUAUACAAAAGUGUGCCUUGGCCAUUCCCAGAACCCCAGUCCGUCCCUACCCACCCCUAAGCCUUCCCCUUUGGUAACCAUGGUUUGUUUUCAGAGUCUGUGAGUCCCUUUGAGUUUUGUAAAUAAGUUCAUUUGUGUCAUUUUUUUAAGUUCUGCAUAUGAGUGAUAUCAUAUGGUAUUUGUCUUUCUCCAUCUGACUUACUUCACGUCGUAUGAUAAUCCCUAGGUCCAUCCCUGUGGCUGCAAAUGGCAUUAUUUCAUUCUUUUUAUGACUGAGCGAUAUUCCACUGUAUACAUGUACCACAUCUUCUUUAUCCAGUCUUCUGUCGAUGGACAUUGAGGUUGUUUCCAUGUCUUGGCUAUUGUACAUAGUGCUGCAAGGAACAUUGGGGUGUGUGUAUUUUUUCCAAUUAUGGUUUUCUCCAGAUAUUUGCCCAGGAGGGGGAUUGCUGGGCCAUAUGGUAGUUCUAUUUUUAGUUCUUUACAGCACCUCCCUGCUGUGCUCUGUAGUGGCUGCACCAAUUUGCAUUCCCCCUGACUUAUGAAGUCUUAUAAAGGCAGGCACAGGCACCUUGACUUUAUGUGUCUACAGGGAGUGUUUCACACAGUUUUGUAUAUAGUAGGCACGCUAAAUAUUAGUGCGAGGUAAUGAAUUAAAAAAGGGUGCACCCAAAGUAAUAAAGGGUGUUUUAAAUUCAGACACAAGAGAACACACAGUCUGUGAAACCUAGUUAGGUUUUAGGCCUCAGGGCUGUCUCAGGGGGUCUGGAGGAAGCAAAGGAAAAGAGAGAAUUUUACAGAGGAUCUGAAUGAUUCACCACUGCCUUGGGAAGUUUCCUUCUUCCCAAUUAUUUAAAAUAGCAAAUCAGCAGAUCCUUGUCAUUUGUUGAUUUCAGAUUUCUGGUUGUCACUGUUUAUGAGCCACCCCAGAGUCCACAUCGUCUUGAAAUGUGCCUUUUUCCUGGGAAUUGAGUCACCUGGGAGGUUGACCCAUGCAAGGGCGUCUCGCUGCCAAGCCAGGUGGUGGGCGCAGACUGCCGCCCGGGCAUCUCAGUAUCUCCCUGUAGCUUUGUCCUUCUCCUCUUCGACUGUGUUCUAUAAUUUGAGGAUUCUGAAGACCACAGGAUGGAUCCCUUGAGAACCCCAAGGGCCCAAUCAAGUAGUCUUGAUGCGGGGGGAGGGGGGGCUCCCCAUUCUUGGAGGUUCAUGUUCUUUGAGAGAGGACACUCCUUGUAGAACUGAGUGGGGAGAGGACCAUGUCAGCUGCCAGCAGUGCUCAUUCAUUCAAUCAACCAACGCGUAAAGAGAUUAACAUUCUGCUAGACUUGGCAUUAGGGAUGGAGCCUAUACAGUGAGGAAUGCUCCCUUAAAUUAGGACUGUCCUUUAAAGCACUUCCAGGCUUGUCAUUGUUCUGUCACGCUUUCACUUUUGGCCCUCACCACCACCACCCAGGAUAACAGCCAGGGAGGGAACCUCUUGUUAGUCCCAUUUUACAGAUGAUGAGAAUGAGGCUCAGAGAGAUCAGGAGAACUGCCCAAAUUCAGAUGGCUACCAGGGUCUCCCAAACUCAUGCCUCUUGAUCAGCAAUCACAUGCUCUUUGCCAGACGAUACAUGCAGAGAGUCAGGAAUUAUCAGUGGGGAUGGAUGGAAUUUCAGAAUAAUUCCCUAGAAGUCUUGGAUGGUAUUCUAGAAACAUCACCCCCAUCCCCGACCGCCAAACGCAAAAGUCAAGGAACCAUGCCAAAGAGUGCCAGCGCAAUUGAGCAUCGGAAGCUUCUCUGCAAACCAAAUUAGCCUUGGAAAGUGACAGGGAAAUGGCCAAUGUCCCCUAUGGUUUCAUUCAACCCUCUGGGCUUGUCUGUGGCUUGGCCUGACCAUGGAGCUCCAGAUGGAACGGAUAGCGUUUGGGGCCAGGCUUGCGGUUGUGUUAUGACGGCAGGUUGGCGUCCUGCCAGGUGGGGCCUUCACCCUGUCCUCCCGCGUGACCCCGGCCCACUUCGGCUGGCCGAAUUAUUUAAAUAUUGUACAUUACUAGUUAAUAGACACAACAUAUUGAAAGUUUUACAAUAAAAUAUUUAUGCUGCUAGAAAACAUUUUACAUGCUCUUUAAACAGCCAUGUCAUCUAUUUAUUUUCAUUCUCUGAUCUUUCUGUUUUGUAUCAGAAUCAGAGAAUUUAGCCUAUUUACCCAGAAGUAAAUAUUAUGAUGAAAACAUUGGUCAGCUCAAAAGGAGACUUCGUAAAGCGCACAAGUAUUUUUUGUUAGUGUCAAUUGCACAACAGUCCCUGCGUGGUAAUAAAUUCAGAAAUUUCUCUGGGAUGCUGGAAGCAUGGAGAUGAAUAUUUCAUGGCUAGAGGCUACCCCUACCUGCCUUUGGCCUCCUUCGUGCAGCAGCCUUGCCACUCUUUCUGGCCAUUCAUUCCUUUUGUGAAACAGAGAGAAACUCUUCUGGGGCUGAGUGGGCAUUUGCAGGUGCCUGUGGUCAAGGGCAUGCAUUCAGUACUGAACCUUGGGCUGCAAGUAAGUGCUGACACUUUAUGGUCUGAAGUCCUCUGUUUGGCAGCCGAGGCCACACAACCUUCAGCUUGGCCGCCUCCUUUUUUGCCAACUACUCCUAAGUUUUGAAAACUUCUCCCUAACUCUGUCAUGGUUGCUGCUUUAUUAGGCUUAACAGCUAGUCAUCAUGAUUCAGGGGCAAUUUAUUUCUGCCUGAGAGAGGGUCCAGCCAGUACCUCCUCUUGUUACUGAGUCAGAGAUGGAGAACUCCUUGAAUAUCAGUGGGGUUUUUUUUCCAUGUCCUUUCCAAGAAUGUUCUUAAAGAUGCAAAGAAAGUACUAGAACUUGAAAGUGUCAGAAAGCACCAUCUCUUACCCCCACCCACCCCAAUGUCCAUAGGAGCACUCUGCACAGUAGCCAAGACUUGGAAGCCACCUAAGUGCCCAUCAACAGAAGAAUGGAUAAAGGAGAGUGGUACAUAUACGCAAUGGAGUAUUACUUAGCGAUAAUGAAUAAAAUAUUGCCAUUGGCAGCAAUGUGGCCGGACCUAGAGAUGAUCAUACCAAGUGAAGUAAGUCAAAGAAAGACAUUUAUCAUAUAAAUAGCACUUAUAUGUAGAAU